CAAGCCAAAAGGGUCAGAAUUACGCCUAGAUUAAACGCGUUUGCAUACAAAACGCCGUUUUUUACGGCGUUUAAAACGGUAUUAGCGCCGUCAAAUACGCCGUCCUUAUAGCAGACGCCGUAAAAAACGCGCGUAAACCGUAAAAAACGCCGCAAAAAACGGCGUUUUAGUGUUUGUAAAAAGCGCCGCUUUUAACGCCGUCGGCUUGCCACAGGACGCCGUAAAAAACGCCGUUCUGAAUGCACAAAAGCGCGCGUUAUUUACGGCGUUCUCCUUGUAGUAUAAUGAGCCACGCCCGCUGAUUUCCACAGCCAGUAAUAAUGAACUGUUCUCACCCAAUCAAUGAUGACCUGACUCAGACCAGACUAGUUUACAUCCGAGUUCGAUUGUUAUUUUAAUCACUCGAUUGGUUGGUUGGUUGAUAUGAAGAUGGCCAGGAGAAUCUUUAUUUUGCGUUGUCAGCAGAAGCUGAACAAUUGCACUCGACAGCUGACAGAAGAUUCUGGUGUACUACAAUCAACUUUAGUGAGGCUAGAAACAAUGUAGAGAAGCAUUGAAUGGGCGAGAGGAAGGCUGAUCACUGCACCAGAAGCAGACGAGUUACUCCAAGAUCUCAAUGAAUAUAUAGCAGAGGUACAAAAGCAUAGGCAGCAUGGACAACAAGCCAGUUCCAGUUAUCAGGCUCCACUCUGAUCGAGGUGCACCCCAUUACAGCAUCACCAGAGAGCAACUUUCCUUUCUGAGGACAUGUGGUUUUAGUCUUCCUUCAAUAGCAGAGAUUCUGCAAGUGUCUCUGGCUACCGUCAAACGCCGCAUGGAAGAGAUUCCAUUUGAAUCGCUCUCUGACUUAAUCUGAAAUAACCGAUGUAGAUCACAGACAUUGUGGAUGGAAAUGACCAGCUGGGAUCGGAGGCUGUCAGGGCACAGUUACGGUCAGGUGGAAAUCGUGUACAAAGACACAGAGUACGCAGGAGCUUGGUUCAAAUUAACCCAAUUGCAGCAGCACUACAGGACAUGUCACAAAGACCACACAGAAGGUUGUACAGUGUUGCUGGUCCAAACUCCCUGUGGCACCUAGAUGGCAACCACAAAUUGAUAAGAUGGAGAAUUGUCAUUCAUGGUGUUAUAGAUGGCUACAGUCAUCUCAUAGUCUUUCUGCAUGCCUCAAACAACAUCCACAGCAGCACUGUAAUGCCUUCUAGGGUCAGAACAGACCAUGGAGGAGAAAACCAUGAUGUCUGUGUGAUGUUGAACAUUUUCAGGGGCUCAGAGAGAAGAGGCAGGAGCGUUCACAACUAAAGGAUUGAGAGUCUCUGGGGUGACAUGUGGCGGGGAUUGACUAACGUAUAUUACAAUCUCUUUCACUUCCUGGAGGCUGAAGGUAUCUCUGACAUAGACAAAGAAAUGCACAUAUGGGGCUCUUCACUUUGUCUAUGUGCCGAGGAUCAACAGGUGUUUAUCAGCCUUUACUCAACAGUGGAACAACCAUGGGCUGAGAACAGAACAACACCAGACACCCAUGCAGAUAUUUGUUCGAGGCUGCCUGGAACAACAAGGACAGCGAACCACUGCAAUGGAAGAGAUCUUUGGCAGAACAGCUGGACCAGCAGAUGAACCUGUUCUUCAGGCACCGGCAGCAGAAUCAAGCUUGCAGGAGGCACCAGUGUUUGACUGGCCAGAGGGAGUAGCUGUUCCUCAAAGUGACUUCACAUUGGAGAGUGCUGCCUUAGAGCAACUUGUUGCACAAAUUAAUCCACUUGGUGGUUCAAGGGGACAACUCUGAGUGGAUGUCCUUCAAAACAUUUUAUCUCUUUUGAUGUCUCUGAAUCCCCAACAUUAAAGAAAAAUAAAUGGUUAUUUCUGUAAUCACAGAUUAUGGUCACCACUGACUAAUUAUAUGGACACUGAAUUUUUGGUGAGCCAACCACUGAAGUUUGUCGUGGGUGUGGAUAGAUCCACUUGAAGUUAUAUUUUGAGUAGCUGUUACAAUAUUUAAGUAUGGUUAAAGGGUUAGCUCACCCAAAAAUGAAAUUUGUCAUUAAUUACUCACCCUCAUGUUGCCCCAAACCUGUAAGACCUUUGUUUGUCCUCAGAACACAAAUUAAGACAUUUCUGGUAAAAUCCAAGGAUGAUCCACAUAAACAGCAAUGGUACUGCAUCUUUUGAGGUCCAGAAGGGUAUUAAAAGCCAUUGAUAGUGUUUCAACAUUAAUAUUAUAAAGUGACGUGAAUAGUUUUGGUGCGCAAAAACAAAACAACUUUUUCAACUAUCUAGAGAAGGACGAUCUCUGAACAAUAAUUCACGAAGCUUCAAUUCUUUAUGAAUCUUGUUUAGAAUUAAUCUCAUAUUUCAUCUAAAAUAUCUAUCAUUUGUGUUCUGAGGACUAACGAAAGUCUUACAGGUUUGGUACAUUAUGAGGGUGAGUAAUUAAUGACAGAAAUUUCAUUUUUGGGUGAACUAACCAUUUAGGAUGGCGUGAAAUUUUAAAGAAACAUCACCAAUAGCAUGUUCACCAUUUGAAACUUGAAAAUAAAAGUUUCUAUUUCCCACA
Molecule: long non-coding RNA, 2551 nt
Organism: Carassius auratus (goldfish)
Lineage: Eukaryota; Metazoa; Chordata; Actinopteri; Cypriniformes; Cyprinidae
Exons: 5
Source: RefSeq, a predicted model, not a curated record